UACGUAGGGGGCGAGCGUUGUCCGAAGUUACUGGGCGUAAAGCGCGCGUAGGCGGCUUCUUAAGUCUGGGGUGAAAGGUUCAGCGCUCAACGUGAACAGUGCCUUGGAUACUGGGGAGCUUGAGUUCGGGAGGGGGCAGUGGAAUUCCGGGUGUAGCGGUGAAAUGCGUAGAUAUCCGGAGGAACACCGAUGGCGAAGGCAGCUGCCUGGCCUAGAACUGACGCUGAGGUGCGAAAGCGUGGGGAGCGAACGGG
RNAcentral lists this ribosomal RNA (254 nucleotides) under uncultured bacterium. RNAcentral describes it as "partial 16S ribosomal RNA". It matches the Rfam family "Bacterial small subunit ribosomal RNA", at positions 524 to 776 of the family's 1533-position model. The record is from RNAcentral.